UGCGUCUCUCAACUAACGUAAUUUGUGCACCUGCGUGUGCGUGACCCGUACGUAUAAAGAGAUGCGUAGGUAUGCGCGGUACGUACAUUUAAUUUGUUUCUACAUCGCAACCGCACGACCGUCAAUGGGCGUGCUACUUUAUAGACCUAACAGCACAGCAUCAACGGCAUUAUACUUGAGGCUUAUUGUUAGUUACGGUCGUUGCGUCGCGACGUUAGCCGUUGGCAUUUCGUACCCGAUGGCCUCUCCUCGGUGUACUCACAAAUUUAUUAUCGUACACCCCCCCCCCCCCCCCCCCAACCACGUCAAUGGUCUAAGCAAAGUUCCCCAUUCGCAAACGGUUGUUAGUAUUUUUAUGAAAUUUCAUAACAGGUUAAAAUAUUAACCUAAGCACAGCUGUCAUAACGUCACUCGCGGUAUACGGCAACGUGUUCUCACUUGAACUGUUUAAAAGUGUCUCGGCAACUUCCAUUUCUCAGUGCGGAAUGGCACGGACUGCGAUUAGUUCGCAAAAUUGAAUACGGUUUUUAUCGAAUGGCGCUACCCUCGCGGACGACCUGCCUAACACGAGCGCGAC
RNAcentral lists this unclassified non-coding RNA (577 nucleotides) under Athalia rosae (coleseed sawfly). Its description in RNAcentral is "misc RNA ENSAEAG00005003447.1". The record is from RNAcentral. Lineage: Eukaryota; Metazoa; Arthropoda; Insecta; Hymenoptera; Athaliidae.